RNAcentral lists this ribosomal RNA (432 nucleotides) under uncultured bacterium. RNAcentral describes it as "bacterial SSU rRNA". It matches the Rfam family "Bacterial small subunit ribosomal RNA", at positions 340 to 786 of the family's 1533-position model. The record is from RNAcentral.
UACGGGAGGCAGCAGUGGGGAAUAUUGGACAAUGGGCGAAAGCCUGAUCCAGCCAUGCCGCAUGAGUGAAGAAGGCUUUCGGGUUGUAAAGCUCUUUUAGUGAGAAAGAUAAUGACGGUACUCACAGAAGAAGUCCUGGCUAACUCCGUGCCAGCAGCCGCGGUAAUACGGAGAGGGCUAGCGUUAUUCGGAAUUAUUGGGCGUAAAGAGCGCGUAGGCUGAUUAGUAAGUUAAAAGUGAAAUCCCAAAGCUUAACUUUGGAAUUGCUUUUUAAAACUGCUAGUCUAGAGAUUGAAAGAGGAUAGAGGAAUUCCUAGUGUAGAGGUGAAAUUCGUAAAUAUUAGGAGGAACACCAGUGGCGAAGGCGUCUAUCUGGUUCAAAUCUGACGCUGAGGCGCGAAGGGCGUGGGGAGCAAACAGGGAUUAGAUACC